This 307-nucleotide unclassified non-coding RNA is filed under the name Hevea brasiliensis (rubber tree). Lineage: Eukaryota; Viridiplantae; Streptophyta; Magnoliopsida; Malpighiales; Euphorbiaceae. The record is from RNAcentral.
UCUUUUUUUUUUUUUUCUCAUAAUGGCUAAAAUCAUUUUAACGGACAGUUUGACUUAAACUUGAACAUGUAUGCCAUCCUUGGUCGAAUUUGACCAUACAUCAAACUCUGCCACUCAUACAUCUGUCUUCAAUGCAUUUAUGAUGGGUAUAUAUCACUGCAAUUGAACAGUUUCUAUUCCGUAAUUGGAUGUGUAUCUCUUUACUAUAUAUGCACAUAGCAUUGAUAUUUUAAACAUAAUAAAAUAUAUAUUUUUUAUUUGAGUCAAAUAUGCAAAUAGACGGAGUUGCAACACACACUAGUCCAAG